GAUGAACGCUAGCGAUAGGCUUAACACAUGCAAGUCGAGGGGCAGCAUGGUCUUAGCUUGCUAAGACUGAUGGCGACCGGCGCACGGGUGCGUAACGCGUAUGCAACUUGCCUCACAGAGGGGGAUAACCCGUCGAAAGACGGACUAAUACCGCGUACACUCCAUCUUGGGCAUCCAAGGUAGAGGAAAUGAAAUUCGCUGUGAGAUAGGCAUGCGUCCCAUUAGCUAGUUGGUGAGGUAACGGCUCACCAAGGCGACGAUGGGUAGGGGAACUGAGAGGGUGGACCCCAACAAUGGGAAUGGGACACGGGACAGAACUCCACGGGAGGGCAGAGGGAGGGAAAAUGGUCAAAGGGGGGAGGCCGUAAACAGGCAAGUGCGGGGAAAGAAUACCGUCCUAUUGGUUGGAAAAUUUUUUUAAACGGGAAAAAAAAGGGGCAAGUGGGACCCCCGGGAUGGACCGUAAGAAAAAAGAACGGCCAAACCCG
Molecule: ribosomal RNA, 488 nt
Filed under: uncultured bacterium
Lineage: Bacteria
Description: partial 16S ribosomal RNA
Rfam family: Bacterial small subunit ribosomal RNA
Source: RNAcentral